ACUAAACAGCUAGCUUAAACCAAAACUAAACUAACCAUUAUUAGUAUACCUCAACAACAUUACUAAAUAACUAAACAUUCUUCUGCCUUAGUACGGGCGAAAAAAAGGCACCUAUAAGCAAUAGAAAAGUACGUAGGGAAAGCUGAAAAAGAAUGAACAACCUUUUAGUAAACAAAGCAGAGAUUAACCCUCGUACCUUUUGCAUCAUGAUUUAGUUAGUCUAACUGAGCAAAGAGAACUUUAGUUCAAACCCCCGAAACCAAGUGAGCUACCUCGAGACAGCCUUUAACUAGGGCUAAUCCGUCUCUGUGGCAAAAGAGUGGAAAGAGCUCCAGGUAGUGGUGACAAACCUACCGAACUUGGUAAUAGCUGGUUGCCUAGGAAACGGAUAGAAGUUCAGCCUCAUACUCCUCAGCUCACUACAGAUACAAUCCCUAACGAGCCCGAGAAACCUAUGAGAGUUAAUCAAAGGAGGUACAGCUCCUUUGAAAAAGGAUACAACCUUUAAAGGAGGUUAAGGAUCAUACUACGCAAGAUUACUGCUUAAGUGGGCCUAAAAGCAGCCACCCCUACAGAAAGCGUUACAGCUCAGGCAGACAUUAAUCUAUUAUUCUUAUAACUUAUCCAAAACCCCUAAACCUACUAGGCCUUUCCAUGCUUUCAUGGAAGUGAUCCUACUAAAAUCAGUAACAAGAAAGUAACCCUUUCUCCUAAUCCCAGUGUAAGUUAGAUCGGACCCCCCACUAACAAUUAACGAACCCAACUAAAGAGGGAAGUGUAAUCAACAAAGACCACAAGAAAAACUUACAUAAUAUAAUCGUUGACCCAACACAGGAGGAUUAAAAGGAAAGACUCAAAAAGGGGGAAGGAACUCGGCAAACAUAAGCCUCGCCUGUUUACCAAAAACAUCGCCUCCCGCAAAACCCAAUGUAUAGGAGGUCUUGCCUGCCCAGUGAAUAAAUUUAAACGGCCGCGGUAUCUUGACCGUGCAAAGGUAGCGCAAUCACUUGUCUUUUAAAUGAAGACCUGUAUGAAUGGUGAAACGAGGGCUUAACUGUCUCCCUCCUUAGGUCAGUGAAAUUGAUCUACCCGUGCAGAAGCGGGUAUAACAAUACAAGACGAGAAGACCCUUUGGAGCUUAAGACGCUAGGACCAACUAUGUCAAAAACCUUUAAUUAAAAAGUUUAAACCUAGUAGCAACUGGUCCCAGUCUUCGGUUGGGGCGACCGCGGGGAAAAACACAACCCCCAUGUGGAGUGGGUAAAAACCUAAAACUAAGAAAGACAUUUCUAAGACACAGAACUUCUGACCAUUAUAGAUCCGGCUACAUAGCCGAUCAACGGACCAAGUUACCCUAGGGAUAACAGCGCAAUCCCCUCCCAGAGUCCCUAUCGACAAGGGGGUUUACGACCUCGAUGUUGGAUCAGGACAUCCUAAUGGUGCAGCCGCUAUUAAGGGUUCGUUUGUUCAACGAUUAAAGUCCUACGUGAUCUGAGUUCAGACCGGAGCAAUCCAGGUCAGUUUCUAUCUGUAAUGCUAUUUUUUCUAGUACGAAAGGACCGAAAAAAUGGGGUCCCUAUUGUAAACACACCCCACCCUUAAUUAAUGCAGACAACUUAACUAAAUAAAAGGAGAGCACACCCAAACUCAAGACAAGAGUUU
This 1662-nucleotide ribosomal RNA is filed under the name Hemigrammocharax ocellicauda. Its description in RNAcentral is "16S ribosomal RNA". The stretch from base 122 to 1550 matches the Rfam family "Bacterial large subunit ribosomal RNA". The record is from RNAcentral. Lineage: Eukaryota; Metazoa; Chordata; Actinopteri; Characiformes; Distichodontidae.